CACAGACAUUCAAGCAGUGCGAUGCGCUGAGAGUCUGCCAUGCAGACCAGCGAUCCUGAUAAUGUUGUCGGCCUUGGAUGAUGAGGUCCAGUUACCAGGAGCAGUAGUCCGCAGCUUACUGGUUCCGUCCUGCAGCUCCUCCACGCUGUCCUCCUCUCUACAGACCAAAUCAAGAAAAGGGAACCAGGAAGCUGCUGUGGAUCCUCUGCAGUAUCUGGAGAGGUCAGAGGAACGGUUCUUGGAACAGAUCGGAAGACACCAAGACGUGACCGCUGCCAUGCUCCAGAACAUCCAGAAGAUGAAUGAAAACCUUGGUUGCACUGAUGGGACGCAUGGUGUCGGUGCUGGAGCAACUGUCCCAGAAUUAAACUGCAUUGUUGACUAUUGGCUUUUCUAGAAAAUAAAUCUUUUUUAGUACUUCACCUGUUUUGUAUUUUACCCAUGCACUUUGGGUGAAUAAACAGAAAUUUGUGAUGAGAGAUGCAAA
Long non-coding RNA from Acanthochromis polyacanthus (spiny chromis), 487 nucleotides. RefSeq lists it as uncharacterized. The record is from RefSeq and is a predicted model, not a curated record. Lineage: Eukaryota; Metazoa; Chordata; Actinopteri; Pomacentridae. The transcript has 3 exons.